UUUACAAAUCUAAUCAAGAAAUGAUAAAUCGAUAGGUAUUGAUAUAUUGGUUGCUCAAAGAUGAAAUUGUUCAAGUUUUAACAAGGUUGUUUGUUGCUCAUUAUAUGCUACCUUGUCUAAUUUUGGUUCGAGGUUAGAAUAUCUUGAUAAUGCAUUUGAUAACCCUUGUUGAUUCUCGGGUCAAUACAUGAUGCAAAAAUCAAAU
Molecule: long non-coding RNA, 205 nt
Filed under: Physcomitrium patens
Lineage: Eukaryota; Viridiplantae; Streptophyta; Bryopsida; Funariales; Funariaceae
Description: long non-coding RNA (PPAT_LNC006238)
Source: RNAcentral